Molecule: long non-coding RNA, 277 nt
Filed under: Nicotiana benthamiana
Lineage: Eukaryota; Viridiplantae; Streptophyta; Magnoliopsida; Solanales; Solanaceae
Description: long non-coding RNA (NBEN_LNC023237)
Source: RNAcentral
CUCUCUAGAACUUUCUGGUUCUGUCUUCUUCUCCGAUGAACCCCACCGUCUCUCCGGCCGCCUCCAAUCUUAGCCCAUUUGACCAUCAACCGUCAUGAAACCCUAGAUCACUGGCUCUCUCUAUUUUGAGACCCCAGAAUCCUCACUAUGCGAAUCAACCCUUGAAAGCUUCACCUGGUCCAUUUCGGGCUAUCUCCGGCGACAUCCCUUUAACCCUAAGGCUCCGAUGGGCCUCUCACCUCCCUGUUCAACACCUCUAGGACCUUCAAGGCUUAUG